AAAGAAAUCUUCCAGGGAAAGAUGACUUGGAUCAUGUGUUCCCACACGCUGGGAAGAGCAGGAGGCCAAGGAGCCAUUUGAGCUCACGAGCAGCUGUGGGACCUUGACUGCACUUAUGAACAGUGGAGAAGUGACAAGAGUGGUUGUACAAACAAGAGUACUGGCUCUGUGGAUAUCUGUACAGGAGAGACUCUACUUCAUAUAAACACUCUCCUUCUCAGGUAAACAAACAAACACGGGGCGAUUUGUGCCUGGACAAGAAUUUUGGUUUUCCAUCUUCGCAAUUCAUUUAGAAAAACAUCAUUCAGCUGCAGAGAAGGACUAUGACCAUACACCGAUAAUCCCUGAUCAGUUUGGGCAAGAGGCUGUUUGUUCAGAAGAUUUGGCAGCUACUUUCAACUAUCAAAGAUCUCCAUAAAAAUAUGGACUGGGUGGUGCUUUGGUGGGGUUCCUCCUCUCCACAACCUGUUUUCCCCAUAUUCCUUCCCUUCACAUGAACAGUACUCUGCUCUUUAGGUGCAUGUCUGUGAAAUGUAGGGCUCUUGCACACCAAUGGCAUGUGUUUCAGGUGCCUGGGGCAAAUAAGAGCAAUGAUCUCUAAGGCAAGGAGAGAGUUGGUAGAAGUUGCCCUUGGUCUGUCCCACUUGUAAAGACAAGACACUUUUUGGCUCUUCCUGGAUCUGGUGAUAGAGAAGGGUUCAUCAGGUACCUGUGUAUUAAUUUACUAGCUCUAUGUAUAGCACAAGAUGGGGAACGCUGGCCUGGCAAGAUGGUCUGGGAAAGCUGAUCACUUAGGCCAGUAAGAGGAUAGCCCAGACUGUCAUCUGUGUGCUUUGAUCUUCAACUCUUUUGC
Molecule: long non-coding RNA, 853 nt
Organism: Nothoprocta perdicaria
Lineage: Eukaryota; Metazoa; Chordata; Aves; Tinamiformes; Tinamidae
Exons: 2
Source: RefSeq, a predicted model, not a curated record